AUGUUAAGGAUUCAAGUCAAAGCAACAGUAUCGGGAAGGCCCGCAGUUUGCUGCGCAGUAAAUGGUACUUUAGUAAGUAAAUGGCCAGCCUCAGAGAAGCAGAGACAAGCACUGUAUUUCCCCUGUCAUAUUAGCAAAUACACAGAAGGGCAACUUAAAAAAUGGAUUUACUUCACAACUACUGGUUCUCUAGCCCACAAACAUAUGUCAGAAUUACCUGCGAAGGAAGGUUCUAAAAAAUAUUUAAGUCUGGGCCUCACGCCUGGAGAAGGCUGCAAGGAGUGGGGGCUUGGGAUGCUGGCAUUUUCAAAAAGCUCUUGGGGGAGUUCAGAGGUUGCCUUCUGCUUGAGUCUCUUGAUUUUUAGGUUGACUGGAGUACUUUGCGCUUUUGGGGCCACUGUUUGGGGAGUGUGGGGAGCUUUCUUUGCAGAUUUAUUAGCAGUAGUAAAGAACUUGGCCCCUGGCUUUUUGGUCUUCUGUCUUGGGUCUUUUUUCCCCAGUGAAGAGUUUCUUUCUUUCUCUGCCUCUCAAAAACAAAGUUACGGUAAGGGAGAUUCCUUAAUUUGCUACAAUAAAAUCUUUUUUUUUUUUUUUCUACAAUAAAAUCUUAAUUGCACUUUCAGGCAGACGUGAUAUAGGUGAUUUUUGGAGAAGUUAGUAUUUUUUUUCUUUUAUUCAUGAGAGACACACAGAAAGAGGCAGAGACAUAGGCAGAGGGAGAAGCAGGCUCCCUGUGGGGAUCCUGAUGUGAGACUCGAUCCCAGGACCCUGGGAUCGCAACCUGAGCCCAAGGCAGAUGAUCAACCACUGAGCCACACAGGCGUCCAGAGAGGUUAGUCUUGACAAGCCUCUUUAACUCUAUUGUUUAUAGACUAAAAAAAGAAAAAAAAAUCUGAUAAUGGGCAUGGAUGGGGAAAAGGUUACCCUAAUUACCUGAUUGUUCCUAUUAAGUGAUGAUUAACGCUCUCUAUGAAUUGGAUCUGUUAACUCUAAAGCAAAUGUAUGAUUACUCAGAUGGGUAGACUGCAUGCCACCAAAUCUGGAUUUUUUUCCUCAAGGCGGUAAGAUUAUAUUAGAUUUGUCUCAGUUCACUUUUUAAAAAGAAUUUAUUUAUUUAUGUAUUUUAGAGACCAUGUGAAGAGGGGAGGGUCAAAGGGAGUGGGAGAUGCAAAGAAUCUCAAGCACACUGAGUGCAGAGCCCAAGGCAGGGUGUGAGCCCAUGACCCUGAGAUCAUGACCUGAGCUGAAAUUGAGUAGGACACUUAAUCAACUGUGUUACCCAGAUGCCCUCUGGUUGUUCACUUUUUAAAAUAUUGCACUUUAUUAAUCAUCUAUGGUUGAGGAAUCAGGAUAGCAUUCACAGUGACAAUAUACUGAUAAAAGUAUAAAUCUCUCUGAUAAUUUUAAUUAAACAGAAUAAGCCAAAAGGAAAAAAACAAAUGUUUCUAAGCUUUCACACAUUAAAUGUAAAACUUCAGAAGUCAUAAGAACCCCUGCAAACACUGAGUUUCUUUAAAAAGUGAUUGUCAAAAUAAUCAAAAUUCUUUUGAAUUCCUUAGUCAGAAAAAUUAGGACAUUUUAAAAACUAACAUUUAUUGAUGAUAAAUUACAUGAAAGGGAGAGAUCAUAUCUAUCUUAUUCACCACAAUAUCUUGGGCAUCAUGCCUGGCACAUUCUAGGUGUCCAAAAAAAUAUUUUUAAAUGAGGGAAUGAAUGUCCGGUGUGGGUUAGCAAUGUUAUACAUGUUAUCUUAUUUAAUCUUCACAAUAUUGCUAAAAAUUAAGUUUUGGAAUUCCCAUUGUAUAGAUGAAGAAAUUGGGUCUCAAAGGGAAUAAGGGAGUUGCCCAGGUCACACAACUAGGAAAUGGCAAAGAUGGGACUCAAACUAUAAUGUGCCUGACUUUACCCUCAUUAUUUAUUCAAUGAUGACACUUGUGUGUUUUUUUUUUUUUAAGAUUUUAUUUAUUUAUUCAUGAGAGACAUAGAGGGAGAAGCAGACUCCUCUCAGGGAUCCCGAUGCAGGACUCAAUCCCUGGACCCGAAAUCACACCUUGAGCCAAAGGCAGACACUCAACUACUGAGCCACCCAGGCGUCCCUAUGAUGACACUUGUUUUAGCAAAGACUGCCAGUGGCCCACCCAACAGCCAUUUCCCUCCUCAUCCUUAGUUUGAGCUCUCAUUUUGUUUCAGUGUCUUGUUCCUUCAGGUGACUCAGGUAAAUCCUGAUUGGUCUAAGCCAAAAUAACGCCUCCAUUCUCCAUGCCUGGGCCCAGUUUAAGGGUUUGGAAUAUGAUCUGGCUUUGGUCAAUGAGAUUGGAAGGAACUCCUCUGAUGAUGGGGGUGGAGGAAGGGUCCUGGAAAAGAAUUUCUUUUGCCUACUUAACAGAGAAACACAAGAGGGAAAUAGACCUUUCUCUGACUGCUAAGUGUUGAUAUGGGGAUGUGAUGUGUAGAGCUGCUAAAGCCGUCUUACCUCCAGGAGGUAAGCUAAAAGAUAGUCUUAGGUGCUUUAUAUGUUGUUGGGCUUCCAAUAGGUAGUACCAAUAGAUCAAAUUCUUAGUUUUGAUCAGCCAGUUACUUGAGACGUUGGGCUGCCAACCAGCUACCUGGAAUGUCAGUCACUCUGUAGUAGUGGCCCUGUCAAAAAUAACUCCAUGACAAUUUUUAAAACCUCUAGUCCAGAUGGACAUAUAAAAUGAAAUACUAUUGUAUUUUUAAAAAGUAUUUUAUGUAAAUUCAAUUUGCCAACAUAUAGUAUAACACCCAGUGCUCAUCCCAUCAAAUGCCUUCCUCAGGGCCUGUCACCCAGUUACCCCAUCCCCCCACCCACCUCACCUUCUGCAACCCUUUGUUUCCCAGAGUUAGGGGUCUCUCAUGGUUUGUCUUUCUCUCUAAUUUUUUCCCCCACUCAGUUUCCCUCCUCUCCCUUAUAGUCCCUUUCACUAUUUCUUAUAUUCCACAUAUGAGGGAAACCAUAUACUAUUGUGGUUUUUAUCAUUAUUUUAUGGAGGUGGGAUGUCUUAACUUAUUCAUUAACUCACUCACCAUUUACUGGUGCCAAAAGCAUGGUAAGUACUUGAACAGAGAUGACACCCAACCAGCCUGCUCAGGAAGAGGAAGGGUCAGGGAAGUCUCUAUACUAGAGCUGACAAGAAAUGACACUUGAACUGAACCCAACAGACCAAUAGGAGUUACCCAGGUAGAAGAAGAAGAAAAAAAGGGCAUUCUUUAUAAAGGAGGUGGCAAAUGAGGUGCUUGGGGGUCUGAGAGAAUAUGUCAAAUUCAAGGAAGUACGAGGAAUGGAGUAUGUAAGGUGUAAGUGAAAGAAUCUGGAAAGAAGUUUAGAGAGGUGAACAGAGGUCUGGUCACAGAGGGCCUUGGGGUCAAGCAAUGGUGUAAGACCUACAUCAGGAGGCAGUAGGGAGUUACCGAAGGGUAUUGAACGUAUAAGGAAUAUGAUGGUAUUUGAAUUUUUAGGAAGAUUGCUUUGGUAGCUCAGAGGAGAAUAUUUUGGAGGCAGGAAAAGAGAUGAGUAGAGAUGAUGAGAAGGAGAGAAGAAAUCAAGCAGGGUUUUUAGAUUCAAGAGAUAUUUAGGAAGUGAUGUAGCGGGAAUGUGAUGCCUUGUUAUGACAAGAUGAGAGCAAAGGAGCAGGAGGUUUGCAAAGAAAUGCAGGGCUAGCGAGGGGGAUGGAGGGGCCUGCCCAGCUGUGCUGAGAGCUAAGCUGAGGAUGGAGACCAUGAGCUAAUGACUCCUAUACACGUGGUUGAGUGAUAGUGUGGUUUUAGAAGCGGAGAAGGCUGGACUGAUCCAUAGUUGGAUAAGUACUCAAAAGGAAAAAGGAGCAAGAGGAGUGAGAAGCUGAAGCUGUUCUUUAAGAGACAGCUUAAAGUGCUGAGCAAGACAGCAAUGGAAGCAAAACAGGAAAUAAGUCUGACACAUGGAGUGACAUCAGUGAUAGGACUUCAGUCACAAUCCUGAUGAAUAAUCAGGUAUAAUUGGAGCAAUAAGGGUAACAGAAGUUUAUGGUAAGAAAGUUGAAUAGUGUGGUUUAAGAUUUUACAGAUGGAGUAGCUGCAGGGAAUAAUAUAGAAGUCGGGCUGAGUUGUGGAUACCUGGAAACGAAGGGCAUUGAGGAAGCCAAGGCACUGGGUGUUGGAAGGGUCAUCCACAUGAACACUGAAAGACAGCAUAAUUAUGGCAGAUUUAGGGUAGAGAGAAAAGUCAUAAACCAUGCUCCACAAUCUCUGACAUGUAUCAGAGAGGAAUGAGAACAACAAGAAGGGAUGGAGGAGAGAAAAUCUGAAAGACACAGGUUUCCAAGGAAGGAUUUGGACAGGAGAUUGGUGGACUAUUGACGAGGCAAGUGCUACUUGUUAUUGAACACUUACUAUGUGCCAGUUCUGUUCUACAUCCUUUAUAGAUUCUAAACUCAUUUAAUUCUCUAUUAUACUCCGGUUUACAAAUGAGAAAACUGAUUCUUUGUGACAUUUAAUAACUUGCUCACGGUACAUAGCCAUGAUUCCAGUCCAGGUGGUUUGGCUCCAAAGUCCACACUUUUACCCAUGUCCGGCUGAUUCUGUUGAACAAACCCAGCCGGGCCCUGUGGUUAGGAGGAAAGUUCAAGAGCCUCCACUUUAGAGUAUAAGAAGGAGGUAGUGUUUGUGUUUGGGGAGUCAUUCAAAAAAGGCAGAACAUGACUAGUCCUUGAUAACAUCAACUCUUUUAAUGUUUUUCAGAGUCUACUUUAUUUUGCGCUCAAACAUAAUAGUAUACCUUUGAACUCUGUGUUAAUAUAUAAACUCAAACCUUUUUAGAAGUGGGUGCAAUAGACUUUUAAAGUAAAUAGCUACAUCAAAAUUAACUAUGAGUACUCAGUUACAUAAAGGAAUUAGUUUUGCAUCUUUCAGAGAACUGAGAUACAUUUUGAGAAUGGCAGUAAGCAAAAUAAAAUAUGCAGUCUUGAAAAAUACAUGGUUCUGGUUUUUUGCACUGGCAUUACUAAACUUGACAGCAAACCAGUUUAUUUGAGCUUCAUGCUACCUGUUGGAAGAAAUUCUCCUAUUUCUUUUUUAAAUUUUUGUUACCUGAUAGGCCUUAACUAUCAUAAAAAACAAGAGCCCAACAAUGUUAGAAAGCAUUAUAAUCCAAAGAAGAAGCCUACUUUGCUUGACUCAUAUUAGGUUCUAUUUAUUUUCUUAGAAUUAAGGCCCAAAGAACCUUUGAAUAAAUUGCUAAUCCUAUAAGCACUGGGAAACCAAUGUCCUUGUCUUACAGAGCUACCAUUCUUUAUGAAAAGUAUGGUUCUAAGAAGGGUAAAACUAUUUCUGCUGUUCAAAUCACCAAAGAUCCCAAAGUUUGAUAGCAUGCUGUGUUGUUGAAGGUAUCUUGAGACAGGCACUUUUAUACCUUGAAAGGAGGAGUAUGAACUGGUGCAACUG
Molecule: long non-coding RNA, 5439 nt
Filed under: Canis lupus familiaris (dog)
Lineage: Eukaryota; Metazoa; Chordata; Mammalia; Carnivora; Canidae
Description: lncRNA (ENSCAFG00030008551.1)
Source: RNAcentral